UACAGAGGGGGCAAGCGUUGUUCGGAAUUACUGGGCGUAAAGGGCGCGUAGGCGGCCUGCUAAGUCGAACGUGAAAUCCCCGGGCUCAACCCGGGAACUGCGUCCGAUACUGGCAGGCUUGAAUCCGGGAGAGGGAUGCGGAAUUCCAGGUGUAGCGGUGAAAUGCGUAGAUAUCUGGAGGAACACCGGUGGCGAAGGCGGAUCUCUGGGCCUUGCCUGACGCUGAGGCGCGAAAGCUAGGGGAGCGAACAGG
This 253-nucleotide ribosomal RNA is filed under the name uncultured bacterium. RNAcentral describes it as "partial 16S ribosomal RNA". It matches the Rfam family "Bacterial small subunit ribosomal RNA", at positions 524 to 776 of the family's 1533-position model. The record is from RNAcentral.